GUCCCUACGAACGUUGUUGCCCUUCUCUUGGCCUCCUCUCAGAGAUUCUUUGCCAAUAACCGGUCGGGCAACGUACCGCCUGUAUAAGACGAUUAUUGUACGGGGAGAGCGGAGAGACUGGAAGGAGAAAAAGAGAGAGGAGACGGAGCACCAGCGCGGGAGGAGGCAGGAGAGGAGCACUGCCUAUCGAUCCUUGAGAGCAUACAGACCAGUACCGAUAUACCGACCAGGAAACACAUGCCUAGAUGUGGACGUUGUACCUGCAUGGGUAAGGGCGGGCAGCGGACUGAGAAUCGCGACACAGACCCAAGUGAGGAACUUCAUGGUUGCAUUCGAUGUUAGGUAUGCGUGCACACGGAGGACCUGGAUACAUCCGCGAAAUGAAAGUAGAGUUUUUUAACGUCGACGAGUAACGAGAAUAUUCCAUAAGGAGGUUGCGCAGGCGGGUAGCGUGGCACAAGAUUGUUCGUAGUCGAAUAGAUUUUUUCAAUGGGGAGAUAUUGCAAAAAAAUGAACGAGAACCGAAGAGCGUCGAUUUGGCGUGUUAUGUUUUUCAACGAAAUAAUUACGAGCUGAAUGGAUCACCGCGGAAUA
This 594-nucleotide unclassified non-coding RNA is filed under the name Athalia rosae (coleseed sawfly). Its description in RNAcentral is "misc RNA ENSAEAG00005002926.1". The record is from RNAcentral. Lineage: Eukaryota; Metazoa; Arthropoda; Insecta; Hymenoptera; Athaliidae.